RNAcentral lists this ribosomal RNA (376 nucleotides) under uncultured bacterium. RNAcentral describes it as "bacterial SSU rRNA". It matches the Rfam family "Bacterial small subunit ribosomal RNA", at positions 28 to 431 of the family's 1533-position model. The record is from RNAcentral.
GAUGAACGCUAGCGGCAGGCUUAAUACAUGCAAGUCGAACGAGAUCCUUCGGGAUCUAGUGGCGCACGGGUGCGUAACGCGUGGGAAUCUACCCCUUGGUUCGGAAUAACAGUGAGAAAUUACUGCUAAUACCGGAUAAUGUCGCAAGACCAAAGAUUCAUCGCCGAGGGAUGAGCCCGCGUAAGAUUAGCUAGUUGGUGGGGUAAAGGCCUACCAAGGCGACGAUCGGUAGCUGGUCUGAGAGGACGACCAGCCACACUGGGACUGAGACACGGCCCAGACUCCUACGGGAGGCAGCAGUGGGGAAUUUUGGACAAUGGGGGCAACCCUGAUCCAGCCAUGCCGCGUGUGUGAAGAAGGCCUUCGGUUGUUAAGU